Dermochelys coriacea (leatherback sea turtle) is the source of this 210-nucleotide long non-coding RNA. RefSeq lists it as uncharacterized. NCBI's taxonomy places the organism in Eukaryota, Metazoa, Chordata, Testudines, Dermochelyidae. The record is from RefSeq and is a predicted model, not a curated record. The transcript has 3 exons.
AGCGAGGGCAUAGCAGGUUCAGGGGAGGGGGCAGGAAGGGGUAAAGUGGGGGCAGAGCCUGUGGCAGAGCCGGGGUUGAGCCCCCCCCUGCACAUUGGAAAGGUGGCUCCUGUAGCUCCAGCCCCGGAGUUGGUGCCUAUACAAGGAGUUGCAUAUUAACUUCUGAAGAGCCACAUGUGGCUCCGGAGCCACAUGCAUGGAUUGGAAGAA